This is a non-coding RNA of Neurospora crassa OR74A, 76 nucleotides long. The record is from the annotation of a RefSeq genome assembly. NCBI's taxonomy places the organism in Eukaryota, Fungi, Ascomycota, Sordariomycetes, Sordariales, Sordariaceae.
GGUCCGCUGGCUUAAUGGCAGAGUGUCUGACUAGGUACGAAUCAGGAGGUUUCAGGUUGGACCCCUGGGAGAAUCG